RNAcentral lists this ribosomal RNA (309 nucleotides) under uncultured archaeon. RNAcentral describes it as "bacterial SSU rRNA". It matches the Rfam family "Archaeal small subunit ribosomal RNA", at positions 526 to 834 of the family's 1478-position model. The record is from RNAcentral.
CGGCUGCGUAAGUCCGUCGGGAAAUCCAUCUGCUCAACAGAUGGGCGUCCGGUGGAAACUGCACAGCUUGGGACCGAAAGACCCGAGGGGUACGUCUAGGGUAGGAGUGAAAUCCUGUAAUCCUGGACGGACCGCCGAUGGCGAAAGCACCUCGGGAAGACGGAUCCGACGGUGAGGGACGAAAGCUGGGGUCUCGAACCGGAUUAGAUACCCGGGUAGUCCCAGCCGUAAACGAUGUCUGCUAGGUGUGGCACAGGCUACGAGCCUGUGCUGUGCCGCAGGGAAGCCGAUAAGCAGACCGCCUGGGAA